This 481-nucleotide ribosomal RNA is filed under the name Dicranosepsis revocans. RNAcentral's name for it is "eukaryotic LSU rRNA". It matches the Rfam family "Eukaryotic large subunit ribosomal RNA", at positions 824 to 1289 of the family's 3401-position model. Lineage: Eukaryota; Metazoa; Arthropoda; Insecta; Diptera; Sepsidae. The record is from RNAcentral.
UGGUGAACUAUACUUGAUCAGGUUGAAGUCAGGGGAAACCCUGAUGGAAGACCGAAACAGUUCUGACGUGCAAAUCGAUUGUCAGAAUUGAGUAUAGGGGCGAAAGACCAAUCGAACCAUCUAGUAGCUGGUUCCCUCCGAAGUUUCCCUCAGGAUAGCUGGUGCAUUUAAAUAUUAUAUAAAAUAAUCUUAUCUGGUAAAGCGAAUGAUUAGAGGCCUUAGGGUCGAAACGACCUUAACCUAUUCUCAAACUUUAAAUGGGUAAGAACCUCACCUUACUUGAUAUGAAGGUUGUGGUUAUGAUAUAAUGUGCCCAGUGGGCCACUUUUGGUAAGCAGAACUGGCGCUGUGGGAUGAACCAAACGUAAUGUUACGGUGCCCAAAUUAACAACUCAUGCAGAUACCAUGAAAGGCGUUGGUUGCUUAAAACAGCAGGACGGUGGACAUGGAAGUCGUAAUCCGCUAAGGAGUGUGUAACAAC